UGGUAAUACCGGAUGCUCCGCUCCAUCGCAUGGUGGGGUGGGAAAUGCUUUUGCGGCAUGGGAUGGGGUCGCGUCCUAUCAGCUUGUUGGCGGGGUGAUGGCCCACCAAGGCGUUGACGGGUAGCCGGCCUGAGAGGGUGACCGGCCACAUUGGGACUGAGAUACGGCCCAGACUCCUACGGGAGGCAGCAGUGGGGAAUAUUGCACAAUGGGCGCAAGCCUGAUGCAGCGACGCCGCGUGCGGGAUGGAGGCCUUCGGGUUGUAAACCGCUUUUGUUCAAGGGCAAGGCACGGUUUCGGCCGUGUUGAGUGGAUUGUUCGAAUAAGCACCGGCUAACUACGUGCCAGCAGCCGCGGUAAUACGUAGGGUGCGAGCGUUAUCCGGAUUUAUUGGGCGUAAAGGGCUCGUAGGCGGUUCGUCGCGUCCGGUGUGAAAGUCCAUCGCCUAACGGUGGAUCUGCGCCGGGUACGGGCGGGCUGGAGUGCGGUAGGGGAGACUGGAAUUCCCGGUGUAACGGUGGAAUGUGUAGAUA
RNAcentral lists this ribosomal RNA (533 nucleotides) under Bifidobacterium animalis subsp. lactis. RNAcentral describes it as "bacterial SSU rRNA". It matches the Rfam family "Bacterial small subunit ribosomal RNA", at positions 161 to 696 of the family's 1533-position model. The record is from RNAcentral. Lineage: Bacteria; Bacillati; Actinomycetota; Actinomycetes; Bifidobacteriales; Bifidobacteriaceae.